Molecule: ribosomal RNA, 429 nt
Filed under: bacterium
Lineage: Bacteria
Description: partial 16S ribosomal RNA
Rfam family: Bacterial small subunit ribosomal RNA
Source: RNAcentral
UAGGGAAUCUUCGGCAAUGGGGGCAACCCUGACCGAGCAACGCCGCGUGAGUGAAGAAGGUUUUCGGAUCGUAAAGCUCUGUUGUAAGAGAAGAACGUGUGUGAGAGUGGAAAGUUCACACAGUGACGUUAACUUACCAGAAAGGGACGGCUAACUACGUGCCAGCAGCCGCGGUAAUACGUAGGUCCCGAGCGUUGUCCGGAUUUAUUGGGCGUAAAGCGAGCGCAGGCGGUUGAAUUAGUCUGAAGUUAAAGGCAGUGGCUUAACCAUUGUUAGUUUUGGAAACUGUAAAACUUGAGUGCAGAAGGGGAGAGUGGAAUUCAGUGUGUAGCGGUGAAAUGCAUAGAAAUAUGGAGGAAAACCGGUGGAGAAAGCGGCUCUCUGGUCUGUACCUGACGCUGAGGCUCGAAAGCGUGGGGAGCAGACAGG